This 440-nucleotide ribosomal RNA is filed under the name uncultured bacterium. Its description in RNAcentral is "partial 16S ribosomal RNA". It matches the Rfam family "Bacterial small subunit ribosomal RNA", at positions 338 to 795 of the family's 1533-position model. The record is from RNAcentral.
CCUACGGGAGGCAGCAGUGGGGAAUAUUGCACAAUGGGGGAAACCCUGAUGCAGCGACGCCGCGUGAGUGAAGAAGUACUUCGGUAUGUAAAGCUCUAUCAGUAGGGAAGAAAAUGACGGUACCUGAUUAAGAAGCCCCGGCUAACUACGUUACAGCAGCCGCGGUAAUACGUAGGGGGCAAGCGUUAUCCGGAUUUACUGGGUGUAAAGGGAGCGUAGACGGCAGCACAAGUCUGGAGUGAAAUGCCGGGGCUUAACCCCGGAACUGCCUUGGAAACUGUGCAGCUAGAGUGCAGGUGAGGUAGGUGGAAUUCCUAGUGUAGCGGUGAAAUGCAUAGAUAUCACGCAGAACACCGAUUGCGAAGGCAGCAUACCGGCGCUCAACUGACGCUCAUGCACGAAAGUGUGGGUAUCGAACAGGAUUAGAUACCCGGGUAGUC